UACGGGGGGGGUAAGCGUUGUUCGGAAUUACUGGGCGUAAAGCGCACGUAGGCGGCUUUGUAAGUUAGAGGUGAAAGCCCGGAGCUCAACUCCGGAACUGCCUUUAAGACUGCAUCGCUUGAAUCCAGGAGAGGUGAGUGGAAUUCCGAGUGUAGAGGUGAAAUUCGUAGAUAUUCGGAAGAACACCAGUGGCGAAGGCGGCUCACUGGACUGGUAUUGACGCUGAGGUGCGAAAGCGUGGGGAGCAAACAGG
RNAcentral lists this ribosomal RNA (253 nucleotides) under uncultured bacterium. RNAcentral's name for it is "partial 16S ribosomal RNA". It matches the Rfam family "Bacterial small subunit ribosomal RNA", at positions 524 to 776 of the family's 1533-position model. The record is from RNAcentral.